GGAGAUGGGUGAUAGGGAUAGGAGACGGGCGAUAGGAGACAGGUGAUAGGGAUAGGAGACGGGCGAUAGGGAUAGGAGACGGGUGAUAGGGAUAGGAGACGGGCGAUAGGAGACAGGUGAUAGGGAUAGGAGACGGGUGAUAGGGAUAGGAGACGGGCGAUAGGAGACAGGUGAUAGGGAUAGGAGACGGGCGAUAGGAGACAGGUGAUAGGGAUAGGAGACAGGUGAUAGGGAUAGGAGACAGGUGAUAGGGAUAGGAGACAGGUGAUAGGGAUAGGAGACGGGCGAUAGGGAUAGGAGACGGGCGAUAGGAGACAGGUGAUAGGGAUAGGAGACGGGUGAUAGGGAUAGGAGACGGGCGAUAGGGAUAGGAGACAGGUGAUAGGGAUAGGAGACAGGCGAUAGGGAUAGGAGACGGGUGAUAGGGAUAGGAGACGGGCGAUAGGGAUAGGAGACAGGUGAUAGGGAUAGGAGACGGGCGAUAGGGAUAGGAGACGGGUGAUAGGGAUAGGAGAC
Molecule: long non-coding RNA, 516 nt
Organism: Oncorhynchus tshawytscha (Chinook salmon)
Lineage: Eukaryota; Metazoa; Chordata; Actinopteri; Salmoniformes; Salmonidae
Source: Ensembl